RNAcentral lists this ribosomal RNA (583 nucleotides) under uncultured bacterium. RNAcentral's name for it is "bacterial SSU rRNA". It matches the Rfam family "Bacterial small subunit ribosomal RNA", at positions 28 to 626 of the family's 1533-position model. The record is from RNAcentral.
GACGAACGCUGGCGGCGUGCCUAACACAUGCAAGUCGAGCGAAUGAAGUUCCUUCGGGAACGGAUUUAGCGGCGGACGGGUGAGUAACACGUGGGCAACCUGCCUCAUAGAGGGGAAUAGCCUUCCGAAAGGGAGAUUAAUACCGCAUAAGAUUGUAUUACCGCAUGGUACAGCAAUUAAAGGAGCAAUCCGCUAUGAGAUGGGCCCGCGGCGCAUUAGCUAGUUGGUGAGGUAACGGCUCACCAAGGCGACGAUGCGUAGCCGACCUGAGAGGGUGAUCGGCCACAUUGGGACUGAGACACGGCCCAGACUCCUACGGGAGGCAGCAGUGGGGAAUAUUGCACAAUGGGGGAAACCCUGAUGCAGCAACGCCGCGUGAGUGAUGACGGCCUUCGGGUUGUAAAGCUCUGUCUUCAGGGACGAUAAUGACGGUACCUGAGGAGGAAGCCACGGCUAACUACGUGCCAGCAGCCGCGGUAAUACGUAGGUGGCGAGCGUUGUCCGGAUUUACUGGGCGUAAAGGGAGCGUAGGCGGAUUUUUAAGUGAGAUGUGAAAUACUCGGGCUUAACCUGAGUGCUGCAU